GACGAACGCUGGCGGCGUGCCUAAUACAUGCAAGUCGAGCGAAGAGUCUCUGGUGCUUGCACUCGAACAACUUAGCGGCGAACGGGUGAGUAACACGUAAAGAACCCGUCUCAUAGACUGGGACAACUAUUGGAAACGAUAGCUAAUACCGGAUAAUAGUAUUUCUCGUAUGUGAGUUGUUUAAAACUUGGUUAUGCUAACACUUAGAGGUGGCUUUGCGGUGCAUUAGCUAGUUGGUGGGGUAAAGGCCCACCAAGGCGACGAUGCAUAGCCGACCUGAGAGGGUGAUCGGCCACACUGGGACUGAGACACGGCCCAGACUCCUACGGGAGGCAGCAGUAGGGAAUCUUCCGCAAUGGGCGAAAGCCUGACGGAGCAACGCCGCGUGAGUGAAGAAGGAUUUCGGUUCGUAAAGCUCUGUUGUUAGGGAAGAAUGGAUGUGUAGUAACUAUACAUGUAAGUGACGGUACCUAAUCAGAAAGCCACGGCUAACUACGUG
Molecule: ribosomal RNA, 499 nt
Filed under: uncultured bacterium
Lineage: Bacteria
Description: partial 16S ribosomal RNA
Rfam family: Bacterial small subunit ribosomal RNA
Source: RNAcentral